This 73-nucleotide transfer RNA is filed under the name Neurospora tetrasperma FGSC 2508. RNAcentral's name for it is "tRNA-Arg (CCT) (tRNA-Arg-CCT-2-1)". It matches the Rfam family "tRNA". From Rfam's summary of the family: Transfer RNA (tRNA) molecules are approximately 80 nucleotides in length. Their secondary structure includes four short double-helical elements and three loops (D, anti-codon, and T loops). RNAcentral also lists the same sequence under 1 other name. The record is from RNAcentral. Lineage: Eukaryota; Fungi; Ascomycota; Sordariomycetes; Sordariales; Sordariaceae.
GUGCGGUUGGCACAGUGGUCAGCGCGUUCGCUUCCUACGCGAAAGAUCCCGGGUUCGAAUUCCGGACCGCACA